AAACCUGAGAAACCCGAAAGUUCGAAUGAAAAGAUUCAAUAUUCUUCAAUUGGUUGUACAUUUACUUAUGUGAUUUUGUGAUAGUUUUGUUAAUUCUUUUACCCUCACGGGUGGGAAUAUACAUAUUCUACACCACUUUGUUUAUGAACUAAAUACAACUAUGAAGGUAUGCACUUCUUUUCUAGUAGGACGUUGCGACCCAUUGAAUGUUAAUCUAAGGAUACUUGUUCAAGCCUAUUCUCAUUUUACUUAACUGUAUAUUUGAGACUACAGGUAGAGUAUCCUGAAUAACUGUUCGAUGGUAUUUAUAAAACCAUAAUAUUGGAUCGCCAUUCGUGGCAUUUGGUAUUCGUUCAAGUAUGUAAGGUAAUUUGAAUGUCCCAGGCACAUGUACUGGCUUUGAAUCCUAACUACUGUUAGAAUGAAAUUUACUAUCAAAUAGUAUCCUUUUAUUGGUCAGCAACGCUGUUGCUUUGGGUACUUUCAGGAC
This 490-nucleotide ribosomal RNA is filed under the name Panorpodes kuandianensis. Its description in RNAcentral is "partial 28S rRNA". Lineage: Eukaryota; Metazoa; Arthropoda; Insecta; Mecoptera; Panorpodidae. The record is from RNAcentral.